ACGGCUACCUUGUUACGACUUCACCCCAGUCAUCAAUCCCACCUUCGACAGCGCCUUCCUUACGGUUCAGCUACUGGCUUCGGGUGUUACCGACUCCCAUGGUGUGACGGGCGGUGUGUACAAGGCCCGGGAACGUAUUCACCGCAGCAUGCUGAUCUGCGAUUACUAGCAAUUCCGACUUCACGCAGGCGGGUUGCAGCCUGCGAUCCGAACUGAGACACUUUUUCGGGAUUUGCUUCACCUCGCGGUGUCGCUUCCCUCUGUUUUAGUGCCAUUGUAGUACGUGUGUAGCCCAGGUCAUAAGGGGCAUGAUGAUUUGACGUCAUCCCCACCUUCCUCCGUUUUGUCAACGGCAGUCUCAUUAGAGUGCUCUUGCGUAGCAACUAAUAAUAAGGGUUGCGCUCGUUGCGGGACUUAACCCAACAUCUCACGACACGAGCUGACGACAACCAUGCACCACCUGUCUUCCUGCCCCGAAGGGCUUCACCUAUCUCUAAGCUAUUCAGGAGAUGUCAAGACCUGGUAAGGUUCUUCGCGUUG
This 540-nucleotide ribosomal RNA is filed under the name uncultured bacterium. RNAcentral describes it as "partial 16S ribosomal RNA". The record is from RNAcentral.